CACCUGUAGAUUAUAAAUCAGAUGUUAGGAGAACAGAGCCGAAAGAUACCCACCUGUAGAUUAUAAAUCAGAUGUUAGGAGAACAGAGCCAGCCCACCUGUAGAUUAUAAAUCAGAUGUUAGGAGAAUAGAGCCUGUAGAUUAUAAAUCAGAUGUUAGGAGAAGAGAGACUAGAUUAUAAAUCAGAUGUUAGGAAAAUAGAGACUGUAGAUUAUAAAUCAGAUGUUAGGAGAAGAGAGACUGUAGAUUAUAAAUCAGAUAUUAGGAGAAUAGAGCCUGUAGAUUAUAAAUCAGAUAUUAGUAGAAUAGAGACUGUAGAUUAUAAAUCAGAUGUUAGGAGAAUAGAGACUGUAGAUUAUAAAUCAGAUGUUAGGAGAAUAGAGCUUGUAGAUUAUAAAUCAGAUGUUAGGAGACUGUAGAUUAUAAAUCAGAUGUUAGGAGAAUAGAGCUUGUAGAUUAUAAAUCAGAUGUUAGGAGAAUAGAGCCUGUAGAUUAUAAAUCAGAUGUUAGGAGACUAGCCUGUAGAUUAUAAAUCAGAUGUUAGGAGAAGAGAGACUAGAUUAUAAAUCAGAUGUUAGGAGAAUAGAGCCUGUAGAUUAUAAAUCAGAUGUUAGGAGAAUAGUGACUUGUACUUCACAGCUGGACCUCUGAGGUGCUGUUCAGACGAGGACAUUGUAGACCAGGGCUGGGGGGGUCAAUUCUAUUUCAAAUCAGGAGGUAAAGCCAAAAUUCCAAUUCCAAUGUUCCACAUUGAAAAGUAGAAAACAGGAGAAUUGGAAUUUCAGUUGUACUUCCUGAAUUGACUGAUUUGAAAUGAAUUUGAGCCCAACCCCACUAUAGACACAGAGCAUGAAGAGAAACCAGGAGUUACUGUACCAGGACAGAAACAUGUCCAUGUCCUCUGCACUGUUACAUUAGUGCAGCACUGUCUGAACAGGAUUUUCUGUACCAGGACAGAAACAUGUCCUCUGCACUGUUACAUUAGUGCAGCACUGUCUGAACAGGAUUUACUGUACCAGGACAGAAACAUGUCCUCUGCACUGUUACAUUAGUGCAGCACUGUCUGAACAGGAUUUACUGUACCAGGACAGAAACAUGUCCUCUGCACUGUUACAUUAGUGCAGCACUGUCUGAACAGGAGUUACUGUACCAGGACAGAAACAUGUCCUCUGCACUGUUACAUUAGUGCAGCACUGUCUGAACAGGAGUUACUGUACCAGGACAGAAACAUGUCCUCUGCACUGUUACAUUAGUGCAGCACUGUCUGAACAGGAUUUACUGUACCAGGACAGAAACAUGUCCUCUGCACUGUUACAUUAGUGCAGCACUGUCUGAACAGGAUUGAAAUGUAUAGCUUUGUCUCUAGCCUGAGUGCCAGUCUGUUUGUACUAUCAUGCCAACUCCCUGUCACUCAUUGUCACAAUGAGCAAUGGACUGGUAAGAACACAAACAGAUCUGGGAUCAGGCUGUAGAAGGAGACAACAGAUCUACCACUAUAUAGGGAAUAGGGCUCUGGUCUAUAGUAGUACCACUAUAUAGGGAAUAGGGCUCUGGUCUAAAGUAGUGCACUAUAUAGGGAAUAGGGCUCUGGUCUAUAGUAGUACCACUAUAUAGGGAAUAGGGCUCUGGUCUAUAGUAGUGCCACUAUAUAGGGAAUAGGGCUCUGGUCUAUAGUAGUACCACUAUAUAGGGAAUAGGGCUCUGGUCUAUAGUAGUACCACUAUAUAGGGAAUAUGGCUCUGGUCUAUAGUAGUACCACUAUAUAGGGAAUAGGGCUCUGGUCUAUAGUAGUACCACUAUAUAGGGAAUAGGGCUCUGGUCUAUAGUAGUACCACUAUAUAGGGAAUAGGGCUCUGGUCUAUAGUAGUACCACUAUAUAGGGAAUAGGGCUCUGGUCUAAAGUAGUGCACUAUAUAGGGAAUAGGGCUCUGGUCUAUAGUAGUACCACUAUAUAGGGAAUAGGGCUCUGGUCUAUAGUAGUACCACUAUAUAGGGAAUAGGGCUCUGGUCUAUAGUAGUACCACUAUAUAGGGAAUAGGGCUCUGGUCUAUAGUAGUACCACUAUAUAGGGAAUAUGACUCUGGUCUAUAGUAGUACCACUAUAUAGGGAAUAGGGCUCUGGUCUAUAGUAGUACCACUAUAUAGGGAAUAGGACUCUGGUCUAUAGUAGUACCACUAUAUAGGGAAUAGGGCUCUGGUCUAUAGUAGUACCACUAUAUAGCGAGAAGUGUGUGAAUUGUGCAUCCCAGAAGCCUCAACAGAGCAAUGCUCUUUAACGUGUGUGUGUGUGUGUGUGUGUGUGUGUGUGUGUGUGUGUGUGUGUGUGUGUGUGUGUGUGUGUGUGUGUUGCGUUAUCUUGGUGAGUGUGCGUUAUCUUGGUGAGUGUGCGUUAUCUUGGUGAGUGUGCGUUAUCUUGGUGAGUGUGCGUUAUCUUGGUGAGUGUGCGUUAUCUUGGUGAGUGUGCGUUAUCUUGGUGAGUGUGCGUUAUCUUGGUGAGUGUGCGUUAUCUUGGUGAGUGUGCGUUAUCUUGGUGAGAGUGCGUUAUCUUGGUGAGUGUGCGUUAUCUUGGUGAGAGUGCGUUAUCUUGGUGAGAGUGCGUUAUCUUGGUGAGAGUGCGUUAUCUUGGUGAGUGUGCGUUAUCUUGGUGAGUGUGCGUUAUCUUGGUGAGUGUGCGUUAUCUUGGUGAGUGUGCGUUAUCUUGGUGAGAGUGCGUUAUCUUGGUGAGUGUGCGUUAUCUUGGUGAGUGUGCGUUAUCUUGGUGAGUGUGCGUUAUCUUGGUGAGUGUCGUUAUCUUGGUGAGUGUGUGUUAUCUUGGUGAGUGUGCGUUAUCUUGGUGAGUGUGCGUUAUCUUGGUGAGUGUGCGUUAUCUUGGUGAGUGUGUCAUUAUCUAGUAAUAUAUUCAUUCCAACACUGGUUAUUGAUUGUUGUGUUUUCUCUGAUGUGGAUUAGUAUUAAUAUUAUCUCUAGUAUUAAUAUUAUCUCUAGUAUUAGUAUUAAUUACUGUGUUGUGUGUUAGACUUACAGCCUGAAGUAUCUGUACGUGUCCCUGAUAUUAACAUGGAUUCUGGGAAGUGAUGGCCACCAGUGUGUCAGUGUUCUUCAGAGAGGAGUCAUAAAGUAUCAUGUGACAUAUUCCUAUUGUAGUAAAUCUAGGUUUUUCUACUAGUGUUUAACAUCGCUCCGUUGUUGAUGUGUUGCUGAAUGUGAUUAUUACAGAUUCAAACUAUCUUUUAUUUCAAUGCGAUUGACAUUUUCUAGACAAAGGGGUGAUUUGAGAUCACUUCCCUCUUUUUAUCGUUUGUUUACAGAUGAACUACUAGCAUAUAGUAUACAGUCAUUCAGUAUGUAGUAUUCAGUAUGUUAGUAUCUGAACACAGCCAAGGACUUGUUUAACUACUACAGAUGAACUACUAGCAUAUAGUAUACAGUCAUUCAGUAUAUAGUAUUCAAUAUGUUAGUAUCUGAACACAGCCAAGGACUUGUUUAACUACUACAGAUGAACUACUAGCAUAUAGUAUACAGUCAUUCAGUAUAUAGUAUUCAGUAUGUUAGUAUCUGAACACAGCCAAGGACUUGUUUAACUACUACAGAUGAACUACUAGCAUAUAGUAUACAGUCAUUCAGUAUAUAGUAUUCAGUAUGUUAGUAUCUGAACACAGCCAAGGACUUGUUUAACUACUACAGAUGAACUACUAGCAUAUAGUAUACAGUCAUUCAGUAUAUAGUAUUCAAUAUGUUAGUAUCUGAACACAGCCAAGGACUUGUUUAACUACUACAGAUGAACUACUAGCAUAUAGUAUACAGUCAUUCAGUAUAUAGUAUUCAAUAUGUUAGUAUCUGAACACAGCCAAGGACUUGUUUAACUACUACAGAUGAACUGCUAGCAUAUAGUAUACAGUCAUUCAGUAUAUAGUAUUCAAUAUGUUAGUAUCUGAACACAGCCAAGGACUUGUUUAACUACUACAGAUGAACUACUAGCAUAUAGUAUACAGUCAUUCAGUAUAUAGUAUUCAAUAUGUUAGUAUCUGAACACAGCCAAGGACUUGUUUAACUACUACAGAUGAACUACUAGCAUAUAGUAUACAGUCAUUCAGUAUAUAGUAUUCAAUAUGUUAGUAUCUGAACACAGCCAAGGACUUGUUUAACUACUACAGAUGAACUACUAGCAUAUAGUAUACAGUCAUUCAGUAUGUAGUAUUCAGUAUGUUAGUAUCUGAACACAGCCAAGGACUUGUUUAACUACUACAGAUGAUACCGUACAGUAAAACACAAGCAUGUCUUUGUUUAGAAAAGGUCAGGAAGUAAGAAUCAAUGAAUGACUUCCUCAAUAGUUAAUUGCUGCAUCACAUAGUAGUUUCUGAUAGGACUGUUCGCUGUGUUUUUUGUUGUUUUUCUUGAGUUUUCAGAGGUGUGUAGUUGAUUUUGAAAUUGUCAAAGUUUUUUGUACGAUUGUUAAUCGACCAGUUACGUCUAACAGGACAGGUCUCUUCAGCAAUAUGAACGAUUUUCAUUUGUGACGGUUCUGCCCUUUCUCAGUUUUACUAUUGAUGGAUUGAAAGGUAUGUAACUGCCCCCAACAAAACGAACAUCCAUUUUAGUUUUUAUCGCUGGCCUAACUUUGUGUGUUGUGCAGUUGUAUUGUUUAACCAUUAAAACACAGAUGGCCUCAUCCUCUCGUCCUGUUUUAUACUGAUGCUGAAAUGUGUAUUUUAUUCUACUGACACGUUUACUUUAUGGUCCUAUUUUCUUCUCUUGUAUUAUUUCUUCUU
Molecule: long non-coding RNA, 4768 nt
Filed under: Salmo salar (Atlantic salmon)
Lineage: Eukaryota; Metazoa; Chordata; Actinopteri; Salmoniformes; Salmonidae
Description: lncRNA (ENSSSAG00000101328.1)
Source: RNAcentral